Molecule: long non-coding RNA, 2396 nt
Filed under: Columba livia (rock pigeon)
Lineage: Eukaryota; Metazoa; Chordata; Aves; Columbiformes; Columbidae
Description: partial uncharacterized LOC102084377, transcript variant X1
Rfam family: Small Cajal body specific RNA 15 (bases 88-218)
Source: RNAcentral
AGGCCAGGAAGGGGCGCUGGGGGGUUGUGCUGUGCAGUGUCCCCUGGCACAGCUCGGCCAGUUCCUGCGGCUUCCCGGGAGAUUCAUCUGGAGGACUAAGAAAGUGGAGCCAGUAACAUUAUAUUGACUCCACUGAUACUAUCCUCCUAAAUUAAAUGGUGGAAGAACAAGGCCUGCCUGAGAGAUAAAGUCAGGACCUACUUCAUCUGCCUACAAGAUUUUAAUGGCAAUUAGAGGGAACAAGUUAAAAGGUGUUUCUGCAGAGAACGGUGGGUGUGUUUGGUUUGAAUUGAACACACUAAACCAUGUUUCAGUGCUGUUGUGUUGCCUGUUGCGUUUGUGCUUUUGACGUUCUCACCUGUGUUUUUGCCGGCAGGCCUGCGGGUCCCUUUGUUCCUGCUCCAGGACUGGGUGAGCGGAGGCGCUGGACGUGCUGAAGGGUUAUGGUAACCAGUUUGGAAACUCUGAUUGUUGUGUAAACCUGUCUGAUAACUGGUGCAGCUUCGUGAAAGGGCUUUGUGUGAUGCCCUCCAGUGGCAACAGCCUGCAGUGAUAGUUUAAACGAAGAGCGGACAGGAAUUGGAAGAUGUGAUCCCUUUUGCCUACCCCGGGGGGGUUUGAGGGUGACUCACUGAGCCCGAGGGUAAUUGGGCAGCCCUGGAGUUGCUGCUGGGUGAGCUGUGGUUUGGGGUGUCGCAUCCUUGGGCAGUUCCUGCAAGCUCUGCAGGGGUGCACAGAUCACCGCUGCACAUCGGGGCAGCCUGGGGGUUCAGGUGGCCAACACCAGAACUUCAGGCGUGAGCUCCUGUCCUUCACAGAAGGUGAAUUUUGCUGUGUGCCAGUAAAUGCACAUAGUGCAAAGGAACAGAGAGGACGAAAAAUGCCAACAGGUGCCAGGAAAAAUGCAUCUCGAAGCGCUGGUUUUUAAAUGACUGUUGUCCCUUCACGUGGGCUAGUUCAGCAGUGAGGCAGAGUUCCUGUAGAUAGACCAGAGAUGAGAACUGGUUUUGCUUCAUCUGAGACACCUUUCAAUGCAAAGAAAUUGCUCUCAGAUCAACAGCUCAGCACAGUUCUCCAACGUCCCCUGGAUGUUACAUCCAGGAUUCCAGAUGUUAGUCUAACUAGACUAACACGUGGUGUUAGUCUGCUCUGGGGUACCAUACCAUGCUGGACCUGUUAGUGCACUUUAGCUUCGGUAGGAGACUCCUCUUUUGCUGUCAAAUACAGCUUCCAGUUCUGUGUGGGGUUUGGCCCUCACUCACAGCUGUACAGAUGUACCGCGCUUCCUCCUGUCCGCUGGACUUACACAGAAAGAUGAGGUUGAUACGUCUGCCCUGGGUGCUGUGCUGGUCUGAUCAACAGGCCCUGUAGUGGACGUGGUGACCUCCCUGUAAAGUUUUUAUAUAAAGAUAGUGCCUGGUAAUGACCACCGAGUCAUAUUCUGUUGAACAGGCUGCUCCAUACUCAGCCACCAGGCCUGCGCUCCCCAAGAGAUUCAUCGAGCUGGCAGCAGAGUGACGGAGCUGUGUGGUGCCUGGACAGUCCCACCCCAGUGCUGAGAACAUCAUGUUUGGCUCAGAAGGUCUGUCCUUGCAGCAGUCCUGCGAGAGCGUUGUGAAGUCCCUGGAGCUCACCAGUUGAAAAAUACUUUGGAUUGAGUUCUUGUAUCAUCUGAAGUGAAUCCUGGCACCAGGAUACAGAUAUAUCCAUUUAAAAGAAGAGCGUGGCUCUCUGUUUUUGCAAGACAAAGGUAAAACUUGUUCCAGUGGGUGGAAGUUGGAUCCUGCUGCAAGUCACGCAUUUUGAAGCGAAGAAUGGUGCUUCCUCAGCCCUUCAUUCCCUGGCAUUCCCUGUACGCUUCAGCUGCUGUUCUCUGGUAUGGCCUGGCCAGCGUCAGCAGGGCUCACGUGGCCACCUCGUGGCCUCUGCAGUGGCGGUGGCUGAGUCACCUGCUGCAGGGGGACACGGGUUGUGCUCACUGCAAGACAGCGACUGGCUGUCCGACAGAGUGACCGUCACCACCCUUUCUGCCCUGGAAAUCCCUGAAUUCCUGGUAGACGGAGAGAUCACCCUGUACAUACAUAGCUCAGUGUCACAAAACCCAUCUUCUUUUGGGUAUUGCAAAAGAAAUAGGUAUCCAAGAGAAGACGGUACUAAUUGCUGCUAUAAUUACAUACUCAGCUUCUGUUGUCAUGAUUUCUGCAAAGUCUGUUUCAUGGAAACUUUUUCAAAGCUAUUUGGGGAAGAACAGGAAGCUUUUGGCACACAGUUCUACAUCAAAUCUCUUCAGUUUUGCCAGGCUGUGUUUGUAGAGACCCUGUAUAUUGUAGAGGCCACCACCUGUCCCUGACUGUCCCCUAGAAUGGAAACUUGAAACAGUUAUUUUUGUAAUGAAU